RNAcentral lists this long non-coding RNA (464 nucleotides) under Chinchilla lanigera (long-tailed chinchilla). RNAcentral describes it as "lncRNA (ENSCLAG00000026066.1)". Lineage: Eukaryota; Metazoa; Chordata; Mammalia; Rodentia; Chinchillidae. The record is from RNAcentral.
GAAAUCAGCUCAGAGAUGGAGAAUAAGUUGCCUUUGGUCACCCAUCCUGGAGAAGGGGUCACAACCUCGAGCUGGCUGACUCCAGAGACCUGGUCUUCCCACUAGAGCAGUCAGCCCAUCAUUACUCGUAUUUCUCUAGGAAGAAGUGCACUCAUCGGAGAGGAUCAAUUACUCCCUCCCGAGCACCAGUCUGGAGAAAGCUCUGAGCAACAUUCAUCACUGGCUCUGAACUGUGCCUAAUAUUUCAGACUGUUUAGGAGCUCAUGCAAAUGGUUAUCUUUAAAGAUGUAUCAAAUUAGAGGAAAAACGGAUAAUACCCUGGAAUUAAAAUUCAUUUACCCUCAGUAAAAUUCCAUCAGUUCAAUCAGUGAGUAUUUCCUUUUGCUAAUUAACUCUUCAGUUAUGUAGCUCAUGCUAUCCAGUUCCCACACAGAAUAACUACAAUCCUAGAUUCCACUGCUUGC